AUAGAUAGGUAGGUAGAUAGAUAAAUAAAUAAAUAAAUAAAUAAAUAAAUAAAUAAAUAAAAAUCAAAUCAGGGUGAUCCAACUGCACCAGCUCCCGCAACUGCAAGAGACUGGCUGCUCAGGGUGAAUGUGGGUUUUGCUUUCUGCUCCUAGAAGUGGUACACAGUCAUAUGGAGGAAGGAUAUAUCCUCUGUCUGUGUCCUCUGUCCAACCUUGUUUUCUAAGGUGUGUGUGUGUGUGUGAGAGAGAGAGAGACAGAGACAGAGACAGAGAGACAGAGACAGAGAGAGAAAGAUGUGGUAUGUGUAUGUAUGUCAUGUGUAUGCAGAUACCUGCAGAGCCCAGAAGAGGGCUUCAGGUCCCCUGGAAAUGCAAUUACAGAUGUUGUAAGCUGCCUAACAAGAGUGUGCAAAUCCAGAUUUGGUCCUCUGGUAGAGCCAGAAGCACUAACUGCUGAGCCAUCUCUCCAGCCCUCAAUCUUGUUUCCUUAAGCAAAGAAUGUCAUGGCUCCCUUCUGUCUGCCAGUUUGGUAUCAUGGAAACCUGCUGGUUAGGAGAGCAGCCAUCACCUCUGACAGUGUCAUUUCCUUAUCAAGUGCCUUGGGAGGGUAAAGAGAAGGGGGAGGGUGUCUCGGUAUACCCAUCCUUAUAAGUCUGCAACUUCUUGCAUGCCAUUGCAUUUAAAUACAUACUAACAUUUCUGCAUGUUUAUUUGUAUAGUGUUUGUGUAUGGGGGGGUGGAGAGGAGAGACAGAGAUCAGAGGACAACAUAAAGAACUACUUCUCUCUGCAGUGUGGGUCUGGUGGUCAAAUGCAGGUCGUUAGGCUUGGCAGCUUCCCUAAGCCAUCUCACCCUCCUGUGUCCCAUCUUAGCUGCCACAGAUUCUCUCUUACAUUGUCAGAGCAGCAGUGAGGCAGAAGUCACAAGGCUCAACAGCAUCCAGGUUCUGGGGCCUUUCUGAUUUAAUGCAGUAACCAUGAGCAUGCUACCUUUGGUCUUUGCGAGCUACUGUUUCCACCUGCAAAUUCAAGAAAUACCAGGGCCCAAGUUCAAUCCCUGGGUCUGAGAAAGAAGGAAAGAAAGGAAAGGAGAGGAAAGAGGAGAGGAGGGGGGAAGAGAGAGAAAUAGAAAUAUAUAGAGAAAAAUAAUUUUAUUAUACAUCCUAUCUUGAUGUUGGGUCACACAUUUGUCAUGAAUAAAAUCCAUGGAAGACAGCAAGCAAGGGACCAAGCUUAGCUCUUUGUCAGUUACAUUGCACUGAGUCAUUGUGUUUCCUGAUGGUCUGUAAGCUCCAUAGAGUAGGGAGAACCCUGACCUGCUCCCUGACCUCUGGAUCAGAGAGAAUAGCUUGAAAAGCCUUAGCAGGCACAUGUACAGGGGUAUAUGAUCUAACUUUGGCCCAGGAAGUUAAGAGGGAUUUGUCUGGAGAUAGAAGUACCAGAGAAGGCUUCCUGUGCCCAAACAUGUCUUUUAGGCCACCAAGAGGGCAGGACAGGGCAUCCAUGCCAGAGGAGAGUACUCUCUGGCUAAAGGUUCAGAGAAGUUGGGUGUGUCCUGCUGGACAGGGCAUGAGGUUUGGUAUGGAGCAUCGGGUCAGAUGGUGGAAGCCGAGAAUAACAGGCAGGGAGCCAGCUAAAAGAACUGGCCUGGCCAUCAUGGAUACGAGAUGGGUGGGAUGGAGGCUGUCAGGCCCUGUGCCGCCUAGGCCAGCUGGAGCUGAGCAGGCAUGCCCACUCUGUGCCUGUCACCUUGUAGCACUUGGCUUGGACUCUAGUAGCUCAUGGAGCCGUUUCCAAGUUUGCAAGGAAAUUGUGGAGCUCAGAAAUUGGACAUCUUCCAUGCCACAUUAUUUUCCUACCACAAUCACUUAUUCAUUCAUUCAACAUUUAUUGACUGCACAUUAUGUGUCAAGUAGGGCCUUGGGGACAUAGAGGAGGAAACCACAAUCCCCUACCCAUUCCUGUAGCUCUUCUAAUAUGGAAGUUUAUGUAUCCAUCCACAGCAGGGCUGAGGGGAGGGAGUGCUGAGUUAGCAGGCAUGGGAUAUGACAGUUAUCAUCAUUCUGUGGCUUCUGGCCUCCCUUAGCCCCCUCCACUCCUCAGGAACCUGCAAGAACAAAGUCAGAGGCCAUUUCCUUCUUUGCCCAUCGUGACCAUCAGCUGUGAUUUAGCUUCAGCCAGACUUCAAUUCUCUAGAUCCCACCGGUUCUACAGUUUCCCUUUCUCCAUUUAAAACAAUUUUGAUCUUAAGAAUCAGAAUAUCAGUAACUCAUUAAGAUUUAUGUGUGAGCAUAGUAGGAAACAUCUUUUUUUGUUUGUUUGUUUUUGUUUUUGUUUUUCGAGACAGGGUUUCUCUGUAUUGUUUUGGAGACUGUCCUGGAACUCGCUCUGUAGACCAGGCUGGCCUCGAACUCACAGAGAUCCGCCUGCCUCUACCUCCCGAGUGCUGGGAUUAAAGGCUUGCGCCACCAACGCCCGGCAGUAGGAAACAUCUUAAGUGCAAUUAAAUAAUAAACCAUACCUGGAGGAAUUCAUGGAUAGAUGCUUUCUUCUCCCUAGACACUGGAAGCUUGUCUGGAAUGCCAGGUUCAGAAUUCUACCUGGAUCCCCCAGUGCAGCUCUUGGUAGUUAGGCCUGCAUGUAAACUGACAGUAGUGAGCAUCUGGCCACCACCUCCCCACACAGCCCUGCAAAUGCAUCCUUCCCUAGCCUCAACCCUCUAGCUCCGACUAUGGGCUUUUUCUGUCCCUUGCCUUCCAAGACCAGGAAAGACAAAUGGUUUUCUUCUCAUUACUACUACUCUGGAAGGUUUGUUACUGGUGUGUGUGUGUGUGUGUGUGUGUGUGUGUGUGUGUGUGUGUGUGUGUAAGACAAAGCUCUUAGAUAUUCUGGCUGCAUGGAAGUCCUUUCUAAAACUUUGGCCAUCAGAAGACUAGGAGGAUUAUCUAUCCUGUCCUCUACUUCCUUACAUGCUGUCCAGCUGUUGCUGGUGGGCAAGGUGAGUGUACUUGAAAUAGGCUCUUCUGUGGACGGGUGAGUAGCUGCUGGACUCUUUCUAAAACUUCUGACUUUUAUGUAGGAAAGCCAGGGUCUGUGAGGAUGCUCUCCCGGGAAGAUAGCAUGUACUUUUAGUUAUGUAUGCUGAACAACAGAACAAGGGGUGUUCAGGGUCUCGCAGCAAGUGGGUCUUCCCUGCACUGGGUGGCCUUGGCUCCCUUCUGGCUUCCUUUGCUUAGAUUUCCUGGAGGAAGUUUACUGAAUAAAUGUCACAUCCACAGAGACUUGCCAAGGGUUUAAAUGUGGGAGCCAGCUGACAGCACACACUCUCAGUCACGAGGCUUCCUCUGGAGCAGAGUGGCACAGACUUCCUUGGUGAAGAAGGAGGUGUACAGUUGUCUCUUUUCCUGUUCUGCUGUCCCUCUCAGGGGCCCUGUCUCUUCCAGGACAUCCUCCAGGAUCAGAAGAGAAAGGACAGCUUGGUGAUCUACUAAAAAGAUGGGAAGGAGGAGAAAAUGAAACGCAGCCUGAAGACAAUGGCUGAGAAAGCCUGACGUCCCACCCUGCACAGCAGCCAGCGCCUCCUUUCCCCCUUUGCUAGCCCUGAGAUUGUCCUGUGAAGGGAAGUGAUGGGACAGGCUCUGUUCAGCUUCCAUGAACCAAGACACAGAAGUGGUAACUCCUGCCAGGGUCACGGGACUGCUACAGAGCCAAGCCGCUUCAGAAACAGAAGAGCAGAGCAGGAAAAGAAAAUGCUGCACCACCACCCUGAGGCUGCUGCAACCCUGCCACCAGGGACUCAGCAGGAGACCAGGGAAUAUGCUCCCCAGCCCUUCUAGACAGCCUUUGUCACUGACCUGCUGGUCUAGCAUCUCCUCCAGGCCUGCCCAUGCCACACAUUUUGGGACCUUUGUGGGUCUGACAGGCACUUGGGAAAUGGAAACAUCACCAUUGGCAUUUUUGCCCCGAACAGCUAGGCAGCACCUUGGGAAGUGCUGCCAGAGGAAGCGAGGCCAGCCCCCCAGGAGUUAAAGGCGCUUCUCCCCAGCUGUCCUCCCCUUGGUGCUCCUUCGCCUCCCUCCUCCUGCUCACAGCAGGCAGGGCCUGGAACCAGGAGCCAUGCUGCUGUGCUGUUGCCAGGGGAGCUGGGAGGCAGAUCGGAGCUAUGCAGGGGAAAGGCUCAGCCUGUCAAAGUGUCUGAGAUGAACCACGCCAUCCCUGUGCAGCUGGGCUCAGAUGUGUCUCGGCUCUUGUUCUGUGCCUGAGAACGGUGAAGCCCAGUGAGGUUCAAGGGCACACUCGCUAUUCAUUAGUCAGGGGUUCUUGACGUCCUGUCUCUCCCAGGCAUGGGUCCCCCUUCCUCUUUCUCUCCCUCCUGUGACACAUUCCUGGGUGCCCGUGGUGAGGACUGCACACCCCCUCCUGCACAGCCCCCUCCACACAGACCCUGAAUCAACUCCUGUUAAGGAGACCAGGCGGGACAGAGACAAUGGCUCCAAGAAACCAUCCAGGCGGGACACCAGUCACAUUCCCCUGCCCUCCACGCCCAGGGCUCCUAUGGAUCCAACUCUGCUGUGCUCAGGACACCCUUGGGCCCCCAGCCUGCAGAGGCCUGGACAGAAGCAGACCACUAGGUGCUGCCCUACAAACAGGCCAGUGGCAUGCUGUUCUCAGUGGACCCCUCGGUGCCUCUGUCCCACUGGCUGGGUCUUUUUUGUGCGGUUUGUUGGAAAGUAGAAGCUGUACAGUAUUUUCUGAAAUGUCGCUAUGUCAAAAUGUAAAAGGCACAUAUCCUUGCUUACUAAUUCCAUGACUAGGAAUUUACUCCAGAUACAUUUACUAGGAAGCAUUGACAAAGAACUGUGGUUCCGCUAAUGAGUAAUUUAACACUAUGGAAUACAACACAACUGUAAACGUGUGGCAGAUCUCUACACGCAGGCUAAUAGGAAAGGCUGACUAAUAAAUGUAAGUGAAUAAAAUAAAUAACAGAACAA
Molecule: long non-coding RNA, 4990 nt
Organism: Mesocricetus auratus (golden hamster)
Lineage: Eukaryota; Metazoa; Chordata; Mammalia; Rodentia; Cricetidae
Exons: 3
Source: RefSeq, a predicted model, not a curated record